AUGAUUUGUCUGGUUAAUUCCGACAACGAACGAGAUCUUAACCUGCUAAUUAGCGGUAAAUACAACAUAUUCUUAAGUAAAAAAGAAUAUAGAUAAAAAUAACAAAUAAGAGAAUAUAUUAAGAUGUUAUUAUAUAUAAUGUCUUUUUCCCUGUUCUUCUUGUAUUGUUUUUUUAUUCUAUUUCUUUUUUUACGUAAGAAUGUAUUUACUUGAUUGUAAAGCUUCUUAGAGGAACAUUGUGUGUCUAACACAAGGAAGUUUAAGGCAACAACAGGUCUGUGAUGUCCUUAGAUGAACUAGGCUGCACGCGUGCUACACUGAUAUAUAUAACGAGUUAUUAAAAGUAUAUCUUUGUAUAUAUAUAUUCUGUAUAUAUAUACAAAAGAUAUAAUUUUCCUCCACUGAAAAGUGUAGGUAAUCUUUAUCAAUAUAUAUCGUGAUGGGGAUAGAUUAUUGCAAUUAUUAAUCUUGAACGAGGAAUGCCUAGUAAGCAUGAUUUCAUCAGAUUGUGCUGACUACGUCCCUGCCCUUUGUACACACCGCC
This 544-nucleotide ribosomal RNA is filed under the name Plasmodium relictum. Its description in RNAcentral is "bacterial SSU rRNA". It matches the Rfam family "Eukaryotic small subunit ribosomal RNA", at positions 1306 to 1673 of the family's 1831-position model. Lineage: Eukaryota; Apicomplexa; Aconoidasida; Haemosporida; Plasmodiidae. The record is from RNAcentral.